This 244-nucleotide unclassified non-coding RNA is filed under the name Hevea brasiliensis (rubber tree). The record is from RNAcentral. Lineage: Eukaryota; Viridiplantae; Streptophyta; Magnoliopsida; Malpighiales; Euphorbiaceae.
AAUUGCACUUCCUGGGGUUCAGGUUCAGGUUUCCUGUGUCGGCUCACCCAUUGUUACUGGCGCUGUUUUUCUUGGGGUUUUUUAUCCGGCUUUUGUCUUUGCAUGUCCUCUCCUGUUCUUCCUGGGUAGUAUAGAUCCUCCGGUGACUACCCUUCAGAGAUGGUGGCGAUGUUGCUACCCGUUCCUGUUGCUGCUCUAUUUCUGAUUGCUUUAUUCUGUCUUAGUGUUUGGUUUUUGGGGCUGG